Molecule: ribosomal RNA, 301 nt
Filed under: uncultured bacterium
Lineage: Bacteria
Description: partial 16S ribosomal RNA
Rfam family: Bacterial small subunit ribosomal RNA
Source: RNAcentral
CAGCAGCCACGGUAAUACAGAGGGUGCGAGCGUUAAUCGGAUUUACUGGGCGUAAAGCGUGCGUAGGCGGCUUCUUAAGUCGGAUGUGAAAUCCCUGAGCUUAACUUAGGAAUUGCAUUCGAUACUGGGAAGCUAGAGUAUAAGAGAGGAUGGUAGAAUUCCAGGUGUAGCGGUGAAAUGCGUAGAGAUCUGGAGGAAUACCGAUGGCGAAGGCAGCCAUCUGGCCUAAUACUGACGCUGAGGUACGAAAGCAUGGGGAGCAAACAGGAUUAGAUACCCGAGUAGUCCCUGUCUCUUAUAC